AACGAACGCUGGCGGCAGGCUUAACACAUGCAAGUCGAGCGCCCCGCAAGGGGAGCGGCAGACGGGUGAGUAACGCGUGGGGAUCUGCCUAGUGGUACGGAACAACACGGGGAAACUCGUGCUAAUACCGUAUAAGUCCUUCGGGAGAAAGAUUUAUCGCCAUUAGAUGAACCCGCGUCUGAUUAGCUAGUUGGUGAGGUAACGGCUCACCAAGGCGACGAUCAGUAGCUGGUCUGCGCGGAUGGUCAGCCACACUGGGACUGAGACACGGCCGAGGUGCCAGCGGGGGGCAGCAGUGGGGAAAAUUGGACAAUGGGCGCAAGCCUGAUCCAGACACGCCGCUUGAGUGAUGAAGGCCUUAGGGUUGUAAAGCUCUGUCGCUGGGGAAGAUAAUGACGGUACCCAGAGAAGAAGCCCCGGCUAACUGCGUGCCAGCAGCCGCAGUAA
RNAcentral lists this ribosomal RNA (447 nucleotides) under uncultured bacterium. RNAcentral's name for it is "partial 16S ribosomal RNA". It matches the Rfam family "Bacterial small subunit ribosomal RNA", at positions 29 to 523 of the family's 1533-position model. The record is from RNAcentral.